Molecule: RNA transcript, 725 nt
Organism: Salvia splendens (bonfire salvia)
Lineage: Eukaryota; Viridiplantae; Streptophyta; Magnoliopsida; Lamiales; Lamiaceae
Exons: 2
Source: RefSeq, a predicted model, not a curated record
AAUUAGUAUAAUCUUUUGGUUGACAAUGAUAAGAAAUCAAGAAGCAAUUAUUGUUGAAUGCGCUUUUUCUUUUUCGAGAAUUUUGGUUUUGGGUUGACUUGGCUGCGACUGUGCCGUUAUUCUGUUUGGGUUAUUGUUUUCUCGUCUUCAAAAUUUCAGAUUCAACUCAAUUUGUUACGUUGUGUAAUCUAAAAUCGCUUUUUCUAGGGAUUAGAAUACUAACAAUGGAUAAGAAAGACUCUGGGAAGAAGGCCUCUGAGGAUGCGACUCGUGAAUCUCUAAUUGCAAUUUCAUAUGGAGCACCAGAUCUAACUGCUAAAAUGUCACCUAAAAGUAAAGCAGAGGAGAAUGUAGUCGAUCCUCAUAGGCAUGAUGAAGAUGAGAUAUAUAGGUCUAAGUUGAUGUCCAUAUCAUCUUCAACAUCUUCAAAUGUGAAAGCCCAACCAGUCCAGCCCGGGCAACCUCAUCCUUAGCCUGGACAACAGACACGACUGAUGGCCUCAAUGUAACCUCUAGGAUUAAUGAUAACAAGUUCCGGCUUGAAUUUAAUCCCUAACUGCUGGGGGCUUCAGUGUAUUUGGUUCUUUAUCAAACUGUGUCAUGGUGAUAGAUAGACUGUCUCAUGUUUAAAAUCUUUACACUGUAAAAUUAUUCAGACAUGUACACUGCAUAAGUAGGCAGUGGCAAUGGCAGCCAUAGCUGCAAAAAUGUUGUCUUUUGGCUUC